GAUAAACGCUGGCGGCGUGCAUGAGACAUGCAAGUCGAACGAAGGAUCGGGCUUGCUCGAUCCUUAGUGGCGGACGGCUGAGUAACGCGUAGGUGACCUACCCCGAAGUGGGGAAUAACUGCCCGAAAGGGUGGCUAAUACCGCAUGUGGUCGCACGUUCAUUCGUGCGAGUAAAGCCGCAAGGCGCUUCGGGAGGGGCCUGCGUCCGAUUAGCUCGUUGGUGGGGUAAUGGCUUACCAAGGCGACGAUCGGUAGGUGGUCUGAGAGGACGAUCACCCAGACUGGGACUGAGACACGGCCCAGACUCCUACGGGAGGCAGCAGUCGGGAAUUUUGCUCAAUGGGGGAAACCCUGAAGCAGCAACGCCGCGUGAGGGAUGAAGGCCUUCGGGUUGUAAACCUCUUUUGUCAGGGACGAUGAUGACGGUACCUGGCGAAUAAGCCACGGCUAACUACGUGCCAGCAGCCGCCGUAA
RNAcentral lists this ribosomal RNA (474 nucleotides) under uncultured bacterium. Its description in RNAcentral is "partial 16S ribosomal RNA". It matches the Rfam family "Bacterial small subunit ribosomal RNA", at positions 28 to 523 of the family's 1533-position model. The record is from RNAcentral.